Molecule: transfer RNA, 73 nt
Filed under: Stegodyphus mimosarum
Lineage: Eukaryota; Metazoa; Arthropoda; Arachnida; Araneae; Eresidae
Rfam family: tRNA
About the family: Transfer RNA (tRNA) molecules are approximately 80 nucleotides in length. Their secondary structure includes four short double-helical elements and three loops (D, anti-codon, and T loops).
Source: Rfam by way of RNAcentral
GCCUUCAUGGUGUAGUGGUCAGCACGCUCGACGCGUAACCGAGAGGUCCGUGGUUCGAUUCCCGGUGAAGGCU